AUGGAGGAGACGGAUGCGGACACAACGGGGUCAGAAACGGAGUCAUACACGACGGACACGGACAGCGUGCCGGAGCUCACGCCGGAGGAGAUGGCGCGGCUGCUGGAGCCAGACCCGGAACUCACGGACGACGAGAAGGCGCUGCGGGCCCUUCACCUCGUCUGCUGCAGAGAGCUCACCGAGUACGACCCCAAGUCGAAAGCCUAUGUCUGCACGCGCUUCUCCAGCUUCAACAUAGCCCUCUUUGACCUCGACGAAGAGUCCGAGGCUACCCAUGGGCCGCCGCUUCAGGAGCUAACCAAUUCUCAGUGGAGGUCAAUUCACGAGGCAUCUGUUAAUGUCAUCUCCUUGAAGGUAAUCCAGUCCGACGUGGGCUACCCGAUCAAUGUCUUUGGUACUGUUCUCGCACGGGAUGAGGUCGACUACAAAUGUGUCUACUUGUUCCGGCGCGAUAGGGAUAAUUCCCAGUACAUCGAGUCCCCGGAGGACAUGUUAACUCUGACAGGUCCAAGUCGAGGACUUAUCGUAUCAGAUACCAUAUUUUUUGAGAUCAACCUAAAGAUUAGGGGCAACGUAGUCACCGAUGACAAAGAUUUUAGCAAAGGUGUAAUAGAGCACUAUAUUGUUCCCUUGGCCAAGGGACCCAAGACUGAGCUCCUAACUAGCUGGCUGAGUACGGUAGAACUGGUAUUGGCGCCUGCUCCAUAUGCCGUGGCAGCUACCGUUAAAAUCAAUAUCUUGAAUGGGCCAUGUGAUCCUCCUUUCAGAGGCAAAGUAACUGCUUGGACCGCUGGAGAUGCUGAGACCCAUAUCAUUCUGCACGACUACGAAAACAAAGCGAUGGAUGAUUUUAGAUUAAUCAAAGAUGGUGGUUCGAUUGCUUUAAGCCGUAAUCUGGUGGCUGUCCCUGUCCCUAAUUCCUUGUAUGAUGAGUAUGAAGAAAUAGUGCUCACUGUUUGUUUUACUACCAGUGAUGAUGAGGAUGAAUGCACCUCGGUCACUCUACAAUACCCUCAGGAAGAGAAGGUUUGCAAUCACGGUUCCUAUGAGCUUAAAGUGGAGGUUACUUGGACAAGCAUUCUUGAAGGGCCGUUCGGCACAGAUAUUGACAAAAGAUGGAGCUCUGUGCCUCAAAAACUAUUAUUGUUCUAG
RNAcentral lists this ribosomal RNA (1152 nucleotides) under Triticum aestivum (bread wheat). RNAcentral's name for it is "partial small subunit ribosomal RNA". Lineage: Eukaryota; Viridiplantae; Streptophyta; Magnoliopsida; Poales; Poaceae. The record is from RNAcentral.